This 206-nucleotide ribosomal RNA is filed under the name Enterobacter mori. Its description in RNAcentral is "partial 23S ribosomal RNA". It matches the Rfam family "Bacterial large subunit ribosomal RNA", at positions 2725 to 2925 of the family's 2925-position model. The record is from RNAcentral. Lineage: Bacteria; Pseudomonadati; Pseudomonadota; Gammaproteobacteria; Enterobacterales; Enterobacteriaceae.
CAUGCCAAUGGCAUUGCCCGGUAGCUAAAUGCGGAAGAGAUAAGUGCUGAAAGCAUCUAAGCACGAAACUUGCCCCGAGAUGAGUUCUCCCUGACUCCUUGAGAGUCCUGAAGGAACGUUGAAGACUACGACGUUGAUAGGUCGGGUGUGUAAGCGCAGCGAUGCGUUGAGCUAACCGAUACUAAUGAACCGUGAGGCUUAACCUU